UGGGGAAUUUUCCGCAAUGGGCGAAAGCCUGACGGAGCAAUACCGCGUGAGGGAGGAAGGCUCUUGGGUUGUAAACCUCUUUUCUCAGGGAAGAAGACAAUGACGGUACCUGAGGAAUAAGCAUCGGCUAACUCCGUGCCAGCAGCCGCGGUAAUACGGAGGAUGCAAGCGUUAUCCGGAAUGAUUGGGCGUAAAGGGUCCGCAGGUGGUAGUGUAAGUCUGCUGUUAAAGAGUCACGCUCAACGUGAUCAAAGCAGUGGAAACUACACAACUAGAGUACGGUAGGGGCAGAAGGAAUUCCUGGUGUAGCGGUGAAAUGCGUAGAUAUCAGGAAGAACACCGGUGGCGAAAGCGUUCUGCUAGACCUGUACUGACACUGAGGGACGAAAGCUAGGGGAGCGAAUGGG
Molecule: ribosomal RNA, 407 nt
Filed under: uncultured Nostocales cyanobacterium
Lineage: Bacteria; Bacillati; Cyanobacteriota; Cyanophyceae; Nostocales
Description: bacterial SSU rRNA
Rfam family: Bacterial small subunit ribosomal RNA
Source: RNAcentral